Molecule: non-coding RNA, 27 nt
Filed under: Mus musculus (house mouse)
Lineage: Eukaryota; Metazoa; Chordata; Mammalia; Rodentia; Muridae
Source: RNAcentral
UGAGACCUAAUCUGGAGAAAAGUCAUG